Molecule: ribosomal RNA, 459 nt
Filed under: uncultured bacterium
Lineage: Bacteria
Description: bacterial SSU rRNA
Rfam family: Bacterial small subunit ribosomal RNA
Source: RNAcentral
CGCUGGCGGCGCGCCUAACACAUGCAAGUCGAACGAGCGAGAGAGAGCUUGCUUCUCGAGCGAGUGGCGAACGGGUGAGUAACGCGUGAGGAACCUGCCUCAAAGAGGGGGACAACAGUUGGAAACGACUGCUAAUACCGCAUAAGCCCACGGGUCGGCAUCGACCAGAGGGAAAAGGAGCAAUCCGCUUUGAGAUGGCCUCGCGUCCGAUUAGCUAGUUGGUGAGGUAACGGCCCACCAAGGCGACGAUCGGUAGCCGGACUGAGAGGUUGAACGGCCACAUUGGGACUGAGACACGGCCCAGACUCCUACGGGAGGCAGCAGUGGGGAAUAUUGCACAAUGGGGGAAACCCUGAUGCAGCGACGCCGCGUGGAGGAAGAAGGUCUUCGGAUUGUAAACUCCUGUUGUUGAGGAAGAUAAUGACGGUACUCAACAAGGAAGUGACGGCUAACUACGUG